Molecule: long non-coding RNA, 1027 nt
Organism: Gadus macrocephalus (Pacific cod)
Lineage: Eukaryota; Metazoa; Chordata; Actinopteri; Gadiformes; Gadidae
Exons: 2
Source: RefSeq, a predicted model, not a curated record
CGUAUCAGACGCGGGGGAUGAGUACGAUGCAUCCCCCUCACUUCUAUUGGAAGGCCAUUCCAUCCCCUCCACUUUUGUUCGUCAAAUCCUCACAAAAAUCAGCUUUUCUAAUAAAAAAUAGUAAACGUUCGCCUGUUGUAUGCAAUUUAAAAUGGUUGCUAUGAUUGCAUCCCUCUGUAUCAAAUUAUCACUCUGUAAAUCCCAGCGCUACAAUUGACGUUACGUAGACUAAACAGCUUGCGCAGCCUGCAGAAAGCGCUGGCAGCGGUGCUCCCGAGACCCGACUGCCUGAGAGCUCAGCGCGGUGACCGCGGUCAUUCAAGCAGUUUCUCACAGAUUGCUGUGCCUAACUGUUCGUGCUGCAUACUGACUUGACGCCUUCAAUGAAAAGGUAGAAUUGAAUCACUCAGUAUCCUGUUACUUAGAAUUAUAUCAGACACGUUUUAUUUUCAGUUACUGUAUAAUCAGUAAGACCACACCAUAAACACAGAAGCCCAACAUUAUACAUAGAUCAUAGAUAGGUCUCAGCAUGAAAUGGAGAACAUUUGAAGUUGAACUUGACCACUGGUUUGACAGCCUGCACUCUGUGUGUCACUACAUAAUAACAUCACUACAUACAAGUAACAAAUGCUCUAGCCAAAUGUCAUUAGAGCUACAGUUAUUGAACAUUCAUGCAACAGCCUCAAGUGGCUUUACAAAUGUGUUUUGUCUCUGCUCAUUAUGACAAACUAAUUGUUCUGCAAUCAUUUUCCUGUCCAACAGAUCCAGCUUGUGCUUUUGAACAUAACACACGGUUACACUGUUGAGACAUGUUUGUGUCAUUGUACUUCGCAUCCAUGUUUUCAGCCUUCAGAGGUGAAGCUCCUUUCAGCUUUAUCACACAGUGUGUGUGUGUGUGUGUGUGUGUGUGUGUGUGUGUGUGUGUGUGUGUGUGUGUGUGUGUGUGUGUGUGUGUGUGUGUGUGUGUGUGUGUGUGUGUGUGCGUGUAUCAAACAAACACACAAUGAGUCAUACACACACACACACA